UGCCAGCCGCCGCGGUAAUACGAAGGGUGCUAGCGUUGUUCGGAAUUACUGGGCGUAAAGGGCGUGUAGGCGGAUGAUCAAGCUAGAGGUGAAAGCCCAGGGCCUAACCCUGGAACUGCCUUUAGAACUGAUUGUCUAGAAUCCGUAAGGGGAGUGUGGAAUUCCUAGUGUAGAGGUGAAAUUCGUAGAUAUUAGGAAGAACACCAGUGGCGAAGGCGGCACUCUGGUACGGUAUUGACGCUGAGGCGCGAAAGCGUGGGGAGCAAACAGGAUUAGAUA
RNAcentral lists this ribosomal RNA (279 nucleotides) under uncultured bacterium. RNAcentral describes it as "partial 16S ribosomal RNA". It matches the Rfam family "Bacterial small subunit ribosomal RNA", at positions 506 to 784 of the family's 1533-position model. The record is from RNAcentral.